AUGACAGCAGAGCACAUGACCUGCUUUGAGACGCGGGUAUCAAGCUCUCUUGACACCUCUGUUAGUCUCAAGUCAAAGUUGGCCCUGCACCUCUGAGGUUUGGGUGAUGAUGAACCUGAAAACCGCCUCCUUGGGCUUGACAACCUCGCAGUUGGUGACCCUGACAGCCAGCUCUUUGUGAGUGCAGGCACGAUCUCCUUCCCUGUCAUGAUGGGUCUUGUCUCCUGGUUCAAAGGACCUCUCUUUGUCUCCAAUGGUAAUGGUCUCAUCGGGGAGAUGGUCGUGGAUGGCAACUUCUGCCUGAUUCGCUCACGCGCACGCUCAGCGGCUGCCAUUGCUUUGUCCUUGUUCAUAGUGAUCAACGUCCAUGGGUUGAUCGAGACGUCAUCCUUCCUUCUUGUUGCAUCAUUGGCCUCCUUCUCGUCGAUCCUAAUCGAUAGCUUUCGGGUACUCUAUCAUGUUCAAAAUUGUUUUGUUAUCUAUGAAGUUACCUGA
RNAcentral lists this ribosomal RNA (495 nucleotides) under Triticum aestivum (bread wheat). Its description in RNAcentral is "partial small subunit ribosomal RNA". The record is from RNAcentral. Lineage: Eukaryota; Viridiplantae; Streptophyta; Magnoliopsida; Poales; Poaceae.